RNAcentral lists this long non-coding RNA (295 nucleotides) under Panax ginseng (ginseng). Its description in RNAcentral is "long non-coding RNA (PGIN_LNC012931)". The record is from RNAcentral. Lineage: Eukaryota; Viridiplantae; Streptophyta; Magnoliopsida; Apiales; Araliaceae.
GAAUUGUCAAGAUAAUUCCUGCCCCACUAACAGUUAGGGUAGAGGAACCAUCUGCAUAUAGAGUCCAAACAUUCUGCUCCUGUUGAAGAACUGCAACUGCUCGAUCGGACGAUUCAGCUUCCGGUAACUCGGCAUCUGCUUCGGUGAACGAACAUUCUACCAUGAAAUCGGCCAAAGCUUGACCUUUGAUAGCGGUUCGUGGAUGGUAUUCGAUGAAAAACUGUGACAACUCCAUUGUCCACGCCGCUAAUCUUCCUGAAACUUCUGGCUUGCCCAUCACCUUCUUCAAUGGCUG